UUUCUAUCCUAUACACUUUUUAAUUGCUUUAAAUAUAUAAAUAUAUUAUUUAUUUUUAAAGGAAUGAGCAAAUUAGAAUUCCAAUUCACUCUAAGGAGACAGAGUUUAAAUUUUUCAACAGGAUAAUUAACUAUUUGCUUGGCUUCAAUUUAUCUGUCUUGUACAUACAGCGAUUUGACAGAACUGACUAGUGAAAACUAACCAAAGCUAGAAAUCAACGGAGAGAAUAGUCAAGAAUGGAAAAAGGAAGAGUUUCAGGAAAUGAUAUUUUCCCAUCAGUGGAUAGGCAUGCAUACAUUAAAGGCAUAAAAGGCCGUGGGAGGAGAAACAAAAGCUGUAAGCUAAGGAUCCUGCAAGUCUGAAUUAACUAAAUGGGGAAAAAAAUGAAAUCAUUCUGCUUAAACCUGUUCACUAAUAAAAGGAGAAUCGCUUUUGUUAAAUAUGCUUGGUGUGAUUAUCAAGCAAAAUUUUUUUCUCCCAGACAUCUAUGAAUAAAACAUGCAUUUGAGCACUAGGUAAACAAACAAUAAAUGGAUGAGUUCAGUUACAACAUAAUAACAUUUUAUUUGGAAAACAUAUAUAAUCAUAUUUGUAUUGGCAAUCCAAAUUUAAUGACUUCUUUCAGUAAAAUCAAAGUGCCUCACAAAUAACAUUUAAUGCAUAAGGAUUGUUUACUAUUUGCCCAUUUUUUUUUCUGUUUUCUCAAAUAAACAGAUUUUUAAGGUCUCUGCUGAACCAUACAUAAACUAGGUGAAAUGUGAUUUUUCAGAAAAGACUUUCUUUUGGAUUUUCUUAAUUUUAGGUUUUACAGAUGCUGUAAAAAUAAAUUUAAAAACACAUUUUUGAGAUGGGGAGAAAAUGUUUUCAGUCUGUGUAGCCUGGGCUGAUUUGAACAAGACUCUGUGUGUAACCAUAGUCUUUGGCUUAUUAGCCAUUUCAUCAACAUGACAUCAUCUUCUGCAAAAUAUGAAUGAGGAGAAACCAUUUACAAUAAGAAAAGCAAACAACAGAAUGAAUUUCCUCUGUUGGUGUUUUGUGAGACUGUUAAACAGAAAAUGGAGGGAAGAACUCUCUUUAGACGAUAUCACUUAAUUAAGUAAAGCAUCCUAAUCAGAGUCCCCUCCAAUUGUAAUGACUGUAGGGAGUCAAGUACAUUUCUGUCUAUAUUAGAGUAUCUAACUGCAAUGAUUUAUUGAUAUUUAUUUUAGAAGUGCAACACAAAAGCAAUAAAACAGAGGAAGCAGGGAGAGAGGGAACAUGCCAUUGCUUACUACAGUUACAACCAGAACACAACAAACUUCCUGAUUUUCAUGUGGGAGGUUUUGCUUUCCAAAAUCAGAGCCCACCUUUAUAAGAGAAUGUUCCUUUUCCUCAUUUGAUUUUUCCAAAUGUUCACUGUGGCGUUUCUUUGUCCAUUAGAUGAAUCAUUGAUUCACUUUCCUCACUGCAAGAAUCACUGCAAAUGAGUGGAUGAGCACCUGCUGUUUUCUGCAGUGACAUUACUGGAUUGCAUUCCACCCUGAUUUUAGUCUUAAAAUACAGCUUCUCUGUAUGAGAGAGAGAUUGAGGAAGGAGAGUAAAUAUACAGUAUAGGCAGACAGACAUUGGCUGCCCUCCAAGUUGCACACAGCAUAAACCUGUUUAUCUGCUACAUUUCACAAAUCUCAAAAACAUGUGAAUAAUCAGGCAAGCAACUGGAUAAGUGAUUCACACUAGGGAACCUAACCAAUAUUCUGAUGAGAGGAUACUAUGAUGCUAAGAUGUUGAGGCAAAUAGGCCUGUAUUGUAGAAACUGCAUAUAGUAAAGUUGAUUAGUGGUUCAAAGGAGAAAACAAUCUGUACUAAAAUGAAGUUGAGGCAGUAUCCCACCCUGUGGUCUUUGGUUUGUUAUAUUUAUGUGCAAGUUACCUGGAUAAUUGAGUUUAAAAAUAUACAUUCAUUCAUACCAUUCCAAUAAUUGGGGUCAGUAUACAUUGAUUGGCCUUCAUGUCAGUUGUCAAGGUAAUUUAUUUCUGGAGACCAAGAUCUAAAUAUUGAGGGCUAGUGCCUUAAAACCCAAAUUAUACCAACACAUCUAUUUGAAAUUAAAUUACCAAACAUACUUAGAACCUAUUCAUUUUGAAGAAGCAACUUUUCUUGGAAGGCUACAGUCAAUUUUUAUUAUUGUAGAAGAUGAAUUGUCUGAGAAUAAGUGAACUAGGCAUGUAAGGCUCUUGUUAUAGCUACAUCACUGCUUUCUCUAUUUUUCUCUUUGUUUCUUCCUCAUUUGCUGAUCAUUUAAUCUCCCUUUGUCUUAUUCCCAUGAUUAUUGUGCUUUAGCAUUUAGCUGUGAAGUGGAAGCUCUCAAAGGUUUUGAGGCUAACCCCAAAAGUAUACAUUGUUUCUGAAAAUUUCAUGAGGUUGUUUGUGAAUUUUGGGCUUAAAUCACUUCCAUAAACUAUAUUUGGUUAAUUACAGCAAGAUGAAUUAUCAACUUGCUUGAUAUAUCUGUCUAUUCGCUUAUAUGGUAGACCUGUCAUCACAGGUCUAUACCAGGAAAAUGUAGGUUUCUCUACAUUUGCAAACCCAAAAUACUAUUCCAGAAAGAAGAGCAAUAAUACAACAAGGCAAUUGAAUAAACAUUGCACAUCCUACAGCUUUUUUUCCCCCUGCAUUGCAGAAAGGCAAAUUGCUAAAACUUUUUGAUACUAGAAAACUUUGUUAAAUUACGGUAACCAAAGACAUAAUCAUCUUAGCAACAGAAAGUCUUGGAGAAGGUAGGUGACCUGGAAAUUGAUGUUCCAAACAAUAUUCUGCUACAUUUGAGCUUCUUCAUUAAAGCUUUGCCUCAAGAGAAUGUAUGUUGAGUCUACUGCCAAUUGCAUCUGCCAAAUGCUUUUUAUUGUCUGAACAUUUUCUCAUCUUCUUGCUUUUCGUCUCAGGUUCUUUUUAUUCAGGAUCAGGCACAGAGACUGACUGAAUGGCUCCAAUUAUCAGGAUUUGAAAACCCAGUAUCAGAAUCUACCACUUUGUAGCAUAAUAACCAAUGACUGCUCUCAGAAAGGUACUGUGACCACCACUUGCUUGGCUCUCCAACCUCCUCCCCCAUUUCCCUCUUGAUUCCUCUUUGCCAUAUCACCGUCUGUCCCCUAGCCUUGCCUCAGGUCCCUGAAGAAUCCUGCCCUUAAUCUGUGGGGGUGGUAGGUGGCACUGGUUUGAAGAGCUUACUGGAUCUCCCUCAGUGAGUCAGCCUGGAGUUGUGUUUGAAAACCACAGGCCCUGACUGUGGCUGUCAGACCUCCCAGACACCACCUGCUGCUGCCCGUCAUCAUCUUCAGGUGCUGGGCUCCCCUGUGGGCCUCCUCCUCCCGCCUCUGCUGCAGCGGUCCCAUGGGUGCCCGCCCUCUCUGACACCACACGAGAAGCCAUCUAGAUUCCAGGAACAAAGCCAUCUUUAUUUGCCUCCUUCCCACUGAAGAACAGGCCCAAGGGAGAGGGAAAAGUGGAUACCCACCUGUGUCGCCAUUUGUGUGCCAAGUCCAGGAACAGUCCAUGCAGCCCUGCGGCAUCCCACGACGCUGUCACAAAGAAGUUCACCCGAGGCUGAGGUGUUGUCAUCAGAAUGUUCGUUAAAUAAGCAGUCAUGUUAAGGAAGCUCUAAUGGUGAGGAACCUUGGGCAAACUCCAGCCAGCAGUCAGAAAGAAGUCUGGAUCCUUGGUCUUAGAGCAGCAUGGAAAUGAAUUCUGCCAAUAACCUGGAUGGAGAAACUGAGGCCCAGAAAUUGAUCUCCAGAAUGCUUUGCUCUUAGCCACUAUACUAUUAUGGCAUAUUUUAUCUUUAUGUAUUGCAUUAUUUCAUGGAUUCAAGUUUAUCAAUGUCCUUUGACAAGUUUAAAAAUCUGUCUGCUCACAUGCACACGUAUGUUCAUUGCGGCACUAUUCACAAUAGCAAAGACUUGGAAUCAACCCAAAUGUCCAUCAGU
Molecule: non-coding RNA, 3962 nt
Organism: Macaca mulatta (Rhesus monkey)
Lineage: Eukaryota; Metazoa; Chordata; Mammalia; Primates; Cercopithecidae
Source: RefSeq, a predicted model, not a curated record